GAUGAACGCUGGCGGCGUGCCUAAUACAUGCAAGUCGAGCGAACAGAUGAGGAGCUUGCUCCUCUGACGUUAGCGGCGGACGGGUGAGUAACACGUGGAUAACCUACCUAUAAGACUGGGAUAACUUCGGGAAACCGGAGCUAAUACCGGAUAAUAUAUUGAACCGCAUGGUUCAAUAGUGAAAGACGGUUUUGCUGUCACUUAUAGAUGGAUCCGCGCCGCAUUAGCUAGUUGGUAAGGUAACGGCUUACCAAGGCAACGAUGCGUAUCCGACCUGAGAGGCGGAACGGCCACACUAGAACUGAAACACGGUCCAGACUCCUAAGGGAGGCAGCAGUAGGCAAUCUUCCGCAAUGGGCGAAAGCCUGACGGUGCAACGCCGCGUGAGUGAUGAAGAUCUUCGGAUCGUAAAACUCUGUUAAUAGGGAAAAAAAAAUGUGUAAGUAACUAUGCACGUCUUGACGGUACCUAAUCAGAAAGCCACGGCUAACUACGUG
This 497-nucleotide ribosomal RNA is filed under the name uncultured bacterium. RNAcentral's name for it is "partial 16S ribosomal RNA". It matches the Rfam family "Bacterial small subunit ribosomal RNA", at positions 28 to 507 of the family's 1533-position model. The record is from RNAcentral.